RNAcentral lists this long non-coding RNA (264 nucleotides) under Homo sapiens (human). RNAcentral's name for it is "HSALNT0009100". The record is from RNAcentral. Lineage: Eukaryota; Metazoa; Chordata; Mammalia; Primates; Hominidae.
GGAGAGAGCCGGCUGUCGGAAAAAGAAGACUGAAUAAUACACACAUAGUGUCAUGAAAGCUGGAGAGUGAAGGUGUUUAUUGGAGAGAGAGAUUUGAACAAGACUCAUGUGUCAAAGUCACAAACUGAGCUGAAAGGAAGGAAAGAAGACAAGAUGUGUCAGGCUCAUAGGCAGAAGGGAUUUGCCUUGUCACCAAGAUGAGACUUUGGACUGUGGAACUUUUGAGUUGAAACGAGUUGAGACCUUGGGGAACUGUUGGGAGGG